AGAUUCUUUUGGAGGCUCUAAGCACAAAAACAACAAGAAAUUUGUGCUAAAAGAAGUGUAAAGAGGUUCCUGUUCAACAAGAUCUUGUAUCAGGAUCAAGUUCUUAGCAUGGCACUUAGAUUGCUGGAGGAGAAAUGGAGCUACUGGAGUCACAGAUGUAGCAAACUGAUCAACUCAGAGUACAGGAAGAUAGUUCCUGAUUUGGGAAGCGAGAGACUUCAGGGGAGUCUCACUGGAGCUUUCCAAUAAUCCUGGGUCUCACGAUGACGUCAUCAGGAUUGCGACAGCGGCGGUUCGCUGACGUCAGGCCUCCUGCGUGGACCAAGGCAGCACUGGGAGGAUCCCAGCAGCCCUGGCGAGGCUGAGGCACCCCUCGCCUCCGCCCCUGAGACAAAGGACCACGUGGGAAGGGUAAGAGAAGCGGCCGCAGGCUUACCUCGUGGUCCCUGGGGGGCACCCAUGGUUUCGGU
RNAcentral lists this long non-coding RNA (470 nucleotides) under Felis catus (domestic cat). RNAcentral's name for it is "lncRNA (ENSFCAG00000050882.1)". The record is from RNAcentral. Lineage: Eukaryota; Metazoa; Chordata; Mammalia; Carnivora; Felidae.